This 497-nucleotide ribosomal RNA is filed under the name uncultured bacterium. RNAcentral describes it as "partial 16S ribosomal RNA". It matches the Rfam family "Bacterial small subunit ribosomal RNA", at positions 28 to 507 of the family's 1533-position model. The record is from RNAcentral.
GAUGAACGCUGGCGGCGUGCCUAAUACAUGCAAGUCGAGCGAACAGACGAGGAGCUUGCUCCUCUGACGUUAGCGGCGGACGGGUGAGUAACACGUGGAUAACCUACCUAUAAGACUGGGAUAACUUCGGGAAACCGGAGCUAAUACCGGAUAAUAUAUUGAACCGCAUGGUUCAAUAGUGAAAGACGGUUUUGCUGUCACUUAUAGAUGGAUCCGCGCCGCAUUAGCUAGUUGGUAAGGUAACGGCUUACCAAGGCAACGAUGCGUAGCCGACCUGAGAGGGUGGUCGGCCACACUGGAACUGAGACACGGUCCAGACUCCUACGGGAGGCAGCAGUAGGGAAUCUUCCGCAAUGGGCGAAAGCGUGACGGAGCAACGCCGCGUGAGUGAUGAAGGUCUUCGGAUCGUAAAACUCUGUUAUCAGGGAAGAACAAAUGUGUAAGUAACUAUGCACGUCUUGACGGUACCUAAUCAGAAAGCCACGGCUAACUACGUG